GUCCUUUUCACUCGGUUGUCCUUCACCGAACCCCUGGAUCAGGAGGCGACACUGUCGAGUGGUAUGCUUCGGAUAAAUGGGGUUGCCCUCUUCAUCCAUCUUCGUAUGAACCGGACAUGGCUGGUCCAGGAUGGGAUUAUUGAACUGCUUCUUCUUGGGGGUGAACUGACCCUUUGCCCUUGAACUUGGCAUUGGUUACGGCUGCAGCUUCUGCCUGCGG
This 220-nucleotide long non-coding RNA is filed under the name Hordeum vulgare. RNAcentral's name for it is "long non-coding RNA (HVUL_LNC010471)". The record is from RNAcentral. Lineage: Eukaryota; Viridiplantae; Streptophyta; Magnoliopsida; Poales; Poaceae.